UAAGGAAUAUUGCGCAAUGGGCGAAAGCCUGACGCAGCAACGCCGCGUGAAGGAUGAAGGCCUUCGGGUCGUAAACUUCUUUUGACGCUGACGAGGAAGGACGGUAGGCGUCGAAUCAGUCACGGCUAACUACGUGCCAGCAGCCGCGGUAAAACGUAGGUGGCAAGCGUUAUCCGGAUUUACUGGGCGUAAAGCGUGUGCAGGCGGGGGUACAAGUGGUGUAUGAAAUUUCCCAGCUUAACUGGGAAGGGUUAUGCCAGACUGUACUUCUGGAGUGCGAGAGAGGGGCGUGGAAUUCCGGGUGUAGUGGUGAAAUGCGUAGAGAUCCGGAGGAACCCCAGAGGCGAAGGCGGCGCCCUGGCUCGCAACUGACGCUCAGACACGACAGCAUGGGGAGCGAACGG
Molecule: ribosomal RNA, 404 nt
Filed under: uncultured bacterium
Lineage: Bacteria
Description: bacterial SSU rRNA
Rfam family: Bacterial small subunit ribosomal RNA
Source: RNAcentral